UGCCUUCUCCACGCCGUAACUCUUAUCUUCUUCAUCUCCCACCUUUCGACUCCCAACUCUUCCAUUUCUCAUCUCUUCCAAACCGUUUCAAUGAUUAACUUCAUGAGUCCGUUUCAAGGAUUAACUUCACGGUUAAUUGCUCUUAUCAAUGGAUUCGUUUAAGCUUCAUCUCUGUUUUCCUAUUUAUAGGACUCUUUUCGUAUCUAAUUUCAUUGAAACCGGAACACAGUUCAUGGUAUGAUUUAUUGCCGAGAAGCUCUGAAAUUGCAGGCCUUCCUUGACAUGGCAGAUGAUGAGGAUAUUCUUGAAGGAUAUGUUGACGCGGAACGAAGUCACCGACACUGCAAAAAAAAUUUAGCCUACGCGUUCUUUUGAUCUAGAAGGAGAUAUGUCUAAUGGGGAGUGUAGACCAUCACUGGAUGGAGAUUAGACCCCAAAUGGUCAAUUUGCAACUAAGAGUGGUGACCUAGACUGUCCUGAGGUUGGUGAGCUACGUUGGUCAAAGAAAUCCUCUGUGGCCGCAUAUACAAAUUUAGAUGAAAACAAAAUUAGUUGGGAAAAAGAGGAGGCUUUGAUCCUUACAUUGAUUUCAGUUGCGCGAACAUUGAUUCUAAAUUCACUGCGAGAAGCACAAUGCAGUGUAGAAGAAGAUAUACUUCUGUGUGAUUAUGAUCCCUGAAGAAGAUGCACUUCUGUGUGAGAUGUCUUAGCUUGGAAACACUGAUCUGGGAACUCUAUGACAGAUGGCUCGAGCAAUAAAGAUUUACUUUGUUGAAGUAUGAAGAUCAGACCACACCAGAAAUUUGAAGUUGCUAGAGUCUAAGGUGUGAACGGAUUCUAUGGAGAGGAGAACGAAUAGAAAUUUCUUCUCAGAUCACAGACCGGUUUGUGCAAUAAUUGCAAUAGAAGUUGAUGUGAAGAGUCUGAAAAAAGGUAGGUUCAGGAAGUUUAUCCCUGUGAAGCUGCAAGAUUGGUUGAAGAUUGCCCUCCACAAAAGUAUAGUUUUGACUAAGAUUGUCGGUGUUCUUUUUCGAGAACGAAAUAUAUGAUUUGGAGAAGUAUUUUUUUUCUUCAUGGUAUAUAUAUAUAUAUAUAUGCUUUAUUGUAAUUAGAUGAGAUCAGUUUACAUAUGGAGUUAAAAUCGUAUUGGCUGCUA
Molecule: long non-coding RNA, 1156 nt
Organism: Raphanus sativus (radish)
Lineage: Eukaryota; Viridiplantae; Streptophyta; Magnoliopsida; Brassicales; Brassicaceae
Exons: 7
Source: RefSeq, a predicted model, not a curated record